GGCUCUGUGGCGCAAUGGAUAGCGCAUUGGACUUCUAGAGACAAGAAAUGAGUGAUUCAAAGGUUGUGGGUUCGAAUCCCACCAGAGUCG
RNAcentral lists this transfer RNA (90 nucleotides) under Fukomys damarensis (Damara mole-rat). It matches the Rfam family "tRNA". Rfam says of the family: Transfer RNA (tRNA) molecules are approximately 80 nucleotides in length. The record is from Rfam by way of RNAcentral. Lineage: Eukaryota; Metazoa; Chordata; Mammalia; Rodentia; Bathyergidae.